RNAcentral lists this unclassified non-coding RNA (234 nucleotides) under uncultured fungus. RNAcentral's name for it is "sequence contains ITS1". The record is from RNAcentral. Lineage: Eukaryota; Fungi.
UUGAUUCAUUAUGAAUUUUUACUCAGACAGUAUACAGUAAACAAAAAAAUACAUAAGAGUUUGAGUCCCCCGGCGGGCGCCUGUUUCCGGGGGGUCGGGCAGGGGGACCUGACGGCCACACCUGUCGUUUCCCCGGGGCAAUGACCCGCCGAAGCAACAGUAAAGGUAUAAGUUCACAGGGGUUUGGGAGUUGUAAACUCGGUAAUGAUCCCUCCGCUGGUUCACCAACGGAGA